Molecule: ribosomal RNA, 484 nt
Filed under: uncultured bacterium
Lineage: Bacteria
Description: bacterial SSU rRNA
Rfam family: Bacterial small subunit ribosomal RNA
Source: RNAcentral
AUUGAACGCUGGCGGCAUGCCUUACACAUGCAAGUCGAACGGCAGCACGGGAGCAAUCCUGGUGGCGAGUGGCGAACGGGUGAGUAAUAUAUCGGAACGUGCCCAGUCGUGGGGGAUAACGUAGCGAAAGCUACGCUAAUACCGCAUACGAUCUAUGGGUGAAAGCGGGGGAUCGCAAGACCUCGCGCGAUUGGAGCGGCCGAUAUCAGAUUAGGUAGUUGGUGAGGUAAAGGCUCACCAAGCCGACGAUCUGUAGCUGGUCUGAGAGGACGACCAGCCACACUGGGACUGAGACACGGCCCAGACUCCUACGGGAGGCAGCAGUGGGGAAUUUUGGACAAUGGGCGCAAGCCUGAUCCAGCAAUGCCGCGUGCAGGAUGAAGGCCUUCGGGUUGUAAACUGCUUUUGUACGGAACGAAACGGUGAGCUCUAAUACAGUUUGCUAAUGACGGUACCGUAAGAAUAAGCACCGGCUAACUACGUG